GGCCAAACAUGAAGUCUCAACAUCGUGUGCACUGCUAUUUCUUAUUUUUGCUGUGUUACUUCGACAUUGGGUUGAGAUGGCGAGACAAACUUGUCGUGCAUGGCGUGGAAUAAUAAUCGAGCCAUGAGUGCAAGGGUGUUUUCCAACCUUGGACAAACAAAGUAAAAACGUGACACCAAUGUUCGUAAAUAUCAAAGAGUUAUGAGAAGUUGGGCACCUGUAAAGUGCUGGACAUUUGCCCAGCAGCUGGCCUCGGUCAAACUCAAGCUGUCGUCCUUUGCCUUGUUCGAGUUGGGAUUAGAUAUCGAUCGGAGCCACGGACAACCACAACGAAUGGAGAAAAUCGAAUUUCUGCUGCUCUGUUUCGGACAACAAAACAUAGAUGGUGAGCUCGACGUUGUUGGCCAGCAAUAGAAUUACAGAGAAGAAGACGUCUAGAGUGCUUCUUGAUGUUAUCCGACAUGUCUUGCGACAACAUAUAUCCAGUCUCUUUAUCUCUAAGCUUUUAACUGAUUUCCAUUUGGAACUACGUCACAAGCUACUGUAGAUCGGAACUGCUGCAUCCAUACAACCAAUCCAUACACAAUAGAGCUAUAUAUAUAUAUAUAGUUUUAUCUCUCUAUAUGAAUCGAUAAAUCAAAUGAGGAUUGUUUUUUGUUGAAUAGAAAACAAAUACAUGCCAGCUCCGUCUA
Molecule: long non-coding RNA, 692 nt
Organism: Daphnia magna
Lineage: Eukaryota; Metazoa; Arthropoda; Branchiopoda; Diplostraca; Daphniidae
Exons: 3
Source: RefSeq, a predicted model, not a curated record